Papilio polytes (common Mormon) is the source of this 449-nucleotide long non-coding RNA. RefSeq lists it as uncharacterized. The transcript is spliced from 2 exons. NCBI's taxonomy places the organism in Eukaryota, Metazoa, Arthropoda, Insecta, Lepidoptera, Papilionidae. The record is from RefSeq and is a predicted model, not a curated record.
UAGACAUCACGACUCGUGUCACACAAAGGGCUCUAGAUAGAGAUCACAAAAAUACAUUUUUCGAACUAUUCGUCUAUAUUAUUUUAAACGGUUGUUGUUUUCAGGUGAUGAUUAUUAUUUGCCUGAUGGAUUUAUGGACAUUGCAAAUAUCAUAAUAUCUAAGGGUCAAAGUUGUCCAGCUCGACUUGCGUGUUUGGCUGGUCGGACUACCAACAUUAGAAAUCUAAAUACUUGGAAGAGAAUUACCAGAAACAAGUUACUAUCGUCGAUGUUCAACACCACUGCAGUCGAAGAUGCAUAUAGAGUUGGCAGAACUGGAGGUCACUGCGAAAGCUUCAGACCUUGUCCAAUAAAUGAAAAUCAGUUUACACAAAUCAUUGAAAAUGUAUGUUAUAGAAAUACUUCAUCGUCGAAUGUUCACCCUUAAUAAAUUAACAAUUUAAUUUUAA